UCCAGACUCCUACGGGAGGCAGCAGUGGGGAAUAUUGCACAAUGUGGGAAACCCUGAUGCAGCGACGCCGCGUGAGUGAAGAAGUAUUUCGGUAUGUAAAGCUCUAUCAGCAGGGAAGAAGAAGGACGGUACCUGAGUAAGAAGCCCCGGCUAACUACGUGCCAGCAGCCGCGGUAAUACGUAGGGGGCAAGCGUUAUCCGGAUUCACUGGGUGUAAAGGGAGCGUAGACGGCGACGCAAGUCUGGAGUGAAAGCCCGGGGCCCAACCCCGGGGCUGCUCUGGAAACUGCGUCGCUGGAGUACGGGAGGGGCAGGCGGAAUUCCUGGUGUAGCGGUGAAAUGCGUAGAUAUCAGGAGGAACACCGGCGGCGAAGGCGGCCUGCUGGACCGUGACUGACGUUGAGGCUCGAGAGCGUGGGGAGCAAACAGGAUUAGAUACCCCAGUAGCA
RNAcentral lists this ribosomal RNA (449 nucleotides) under uncultured bacterium. RNAcentral describes it as "bacterial SSU rRNA". It matches the Rfam family "Bacterial small subunit ribosomal RNA", at positions 330 to 795 of the family's 1533-position model. The record is from RNAcentral.